AUGGAGUCCAGAGAACAGAAGGUGGCGCUUUUGCUCCACAGCCUGGAUGACAAGACUGCCGAAGUAAAUGUGGAACGAGUGAGAAACAAGAUGCUGCAGGCAGAGGCACUGCACUUGAAUGAGCUAGCAGAGACUCUGCAUCGAAGGGCCGAAGCUGGUGAAACUGCCCUUCGUGGACUGGUGGACUUUGUCAGCAGGCUAAAAGAACAGCUGGUGGGGCAGGAAGAGGUCUGGAAGGCAGCCUUGUCUCGCCUAGGAGGGCUGGGAAACAGGGUUGCUUUUGCAGCGAAGAGAGUCGACACCAUUCAAGGUAAGCUGCACAAUCUAGGCACAAUGCAAUCUUCCCCACCUCACCCCAACUUGGAUAUUAUUACCUGGUCUGUGUUGGCCCAAACCUAACCCAGUGACUUCCAUAUCAAGGUGAUUUGGCCACGACAUU
RNAcentral lists this long non-coding RNA (439 nucleotides) under Varanus komodoensis (Komodo dragon). RNAcentral describes it as "lncRNA (ENSVKKG00000006060.1)". Lineage: Eukaryota; Metazoa; Chordata; Lepidosauria; Squamata; Varanidae. The record is from RNAcentral.